Molecule: long non-coding RNA, 227 nt
Organism: Syngnathoides biaculeatus (alligator pipefish)
Lineage: Eukaryota; Metazoa; Chordata; Actinopteri; Syngnathiformes; Syngnathidae
Exons: 2
Source: RefSeq, a predicted model, not a curated record
AGAACAAAGUUCUUCCGCCGGGGGCCAAGCACCAGGGUUACAUGCAGAUUUUGAGAUGUGCUUUGAUUAUGGCAAAAAUUGUGAAGUUUGUUGGUCAAUAAAAUUUAUUGUGAAGCAUUUGAAAUGUUUGAUGGAAAAAGGGUUAAAGUCAGAAGUUGUCAUGACUUGGGUUGAAAUGGAAUGUUUGACAAUGAAACCAUUUGAUCAAAAAUGUGUUUUUUUUUUUU